UACGUAGGGUGCGAGCGUUGUCCGGAAUUAUUGGGCGGAAAGAGCUUGUAGGCGGUUUGUCGCGUCUGCCGUGAAAAUCCGGGGCUCAACCCCGGACUUGCGGUGGGUACGGGCAGACUAGAGUGUGGUAGGGGAGACUGGAAUUCCUGGUGUAGCGGUGAAAUGCGCAGAUAUCAGGAGGAACACCGAUGGCGAAGGCAGGUCUCUGGGCUAACACUGACGCUCAGGCACGAAAGCGUGGGGAGCAAACAGG
RNAcentral lists this ribosomal RNA (253 nucleotides) under uncultured bacterium. RNAcentral's name for it is "partial 16S ribosomal RNA". It matches the Rfam family "Bacterial small subunit ribosomal RNA", at positions 524 to 776 of the family's 1533-position model. The record is from RNAcentral.